AGGACGAACGCUGGCGGCGUGCUUAACACAUGCAAGUCGAACGGAAAGGCCCUGCUUUUGUGGGUGCUCGAGUGGCGAACGGGUGAGUAACACGUGAGUAACCUGCCCUUGACUUUGGGAUAACUUCAGGAAACUGGGGCUAAUACCGGAUAGGAGCUCCUGCUGCAUGGUGGGGGUUGGAAAGUUUCGGGCGGUUGGGGGAUGGACUCGCGGCUUAUCAGCUUGUUGGUGGGGUAGUGGCUUACCAAGGCUUUGACGGGUAGCCGGCCUGAGAGGGUGACCGGCCACAUUGGGACUGAGAUACGGCCCAGACUCCUACGGGAGGCAGCAGUGGGAAUAUUGCACAAUGGGCGGAAGCCUGAUGCAGCAACGCCGCGUGCGGAUGACGGCUUCGGGUGUAACCGCUUCGCUGUGACGAAGCGUGAGUGACGGUAAUAGGUAAAGAAGCACGUGACUAACGUACGUCGACCGAGCGACGCCGGUACGUACGUCGUCGGA
RNAcentral lists this ribosomal RNA (498 nucleotides) under uncultured soil bacterium. Its description in RNAcentral is "bacterial SSU rRNA". It matches the Rfam family "Bacterial small subunit ribosomal RNA", at positions 26 to 537 of the family's 1533-position model. The record is from RNAcentral.